RNAcentral lists this long non-coding RNA (297 nucleotides) under Elaeis guineensis (African oil palm). RNAcentral describes it as "long non-coding RNA (EGUI_LNC034040)". The record is from RNAcentral. Lineage: Eukaryota; Viridiplantae; Streptophyta; Magnoliopsida; Arecales; Arecaceae.
AUCCAGACUUCCACGACAAUCGAUCUUCGUUCGAGCUUCUACAAUAAGUGGUCUCCAUCUGGGCUUCCACAACAACCGAUCUCCAUCCAAGCUUCUACAGUUAGCGGUCUCCAUCUGGGCUUCCACGGCAACCGAUCUCCAUCCGAGCUUCUACAGUAAAUGGCCUCUUUCCGGACUCCUACAAGAAUCGGACUCCAUCCGAACUUCUACAGCAGAUGGAUUCCAGACGAACUUCUACGAUGGAUGGGCUCCAGCAGUCGGAUUUCUACAGUGACCGACUAUCUCUGGUGUCUUCCA